Molecule: ribosomal RNA, 446 nt
Filed under: uncultured Pseudomonadota bacterium
Lineage: Bacteria; Pseudomonadati; Pseudomonadota
Description: bacterial SSU rRNA
Rfam family: Bacterial small subunit ribosomal RNA
Source: RNAcentral
AGUCGUGCGAGAAAGUAUCUUCGGAUAUGAGUAGAGCGGCGGACGGGUGAGUAACGCGUAGGAAUCUACCUAGUAGAAGGGGAUAGCCCGAGGAAACUCGGAUUAAUACCGUAUACCUCCUUCGGGAGAAAGAGGGCCUCUCUUUGAAGCUUUCGCUACUAGAUGAGCCUGCGUAAGAUUAGCUUGUUGGUGAGGUAAAGGCUCACCAAGGCUACGAUCUUUAGCGGGUCUGAGAGGACGAUCCGCCACAUUGGGACUGAGACACGGCCCAGACUCCUACGGGAGGCAGCAGUGGGGAAUAUUGGACAAUGGGCGCAAGCCUGAUCCAGCCAUACCGCGUGUGUGAAGAAGGCCCUAGGGUUGUAAAGCACUUUAAGUUGGGAAGAAAAGUUAUUGGCUAAUAUCCAAUAACCGUGACAUUACCAUCAGAAUAAGGACCGGCUAAU